Molecule: non-coding RNA, 117 nt
Organism: Homo sapiens (human)
Lineage: Eukaryota; Metazoa; Chordata; Mammalia; Primates; Hominidae
Rfam family: Metazoan signal recognition particle RNA
About the family: The signal recognition particle (SRP) is a universally conserved ribonucleoprotein. It is involved in the co-translational targeting of proteins to membranes.
Source: Rfam
GCUGGGCAUGGUGGCUCAUGCCUGUAAUCCCAGCACUUUGGGAGGCUGAGGCAGGUGGAUCACCUGAGGUCAGGAGUUCGAGACCAGCCUGGCCAACAUGGUGAAACCCCGUCUCUA